AACGGUUGUUGUGAGAGUCCGUCAGUUGGUUAACAGUCGAGGCCAGCCGGAGAAGGUACCAAAAAGUUCAAAAUAGCAGACUCAGUCUCUCUGAUGGACUGUCUCCACCUUCCACCACCUUGUGCCGAAUACUGAAAAUAUGAAUCUGAAGGCUUGCACCCUGAGCCUGAGCUGCUGUGGCUGGACAGUAAAGGAGUCAAUCUCAAAUGUGCUGUCAGGAGAAACCUUCACAUCCAAAGCUACAGAUGGAGAGACGGAGAAGUUCAUCAUAAGGUGGCUGUAGCUUGCACUAAGUUACUAAGUUCCCUUAAUGUUAUUACUAUACGUUUCUCCAUGUUCUCGGGAAGAUACAGUAAAAGGCUAAACUUGUCAGAGUUAGCAACUGUUUUCCUUAAUUCUCCGUACUGGCCAAUGAUUAUAACACUGAUUCAGAUCCAACCAUAAAUUCAUACAUUGUG
Long non-coding RNA from Coregonus clupeaformis (lake whitefish), 458 nucleotides. RefSeq lists it as uncharacterized. The record is from RefSeq and is a predicted model, not a curated record. Lineage: Eukaryota; Metazoa; Chordata; Actinopteri; Salmoniformes; Salmonidae. The transcript has 3 exons.